RNAcentral lists this transfer RNA (59 nucleotides) under Ampithoe lacertosa. Its description in RNAcentral is "tRNA-Arg". The record is from RNAcentral. Lineage: Eukaryota; Metazoa; Arthropoda; Malacostraca; Amphipoda; Ampithoidae.
AAAACAGAAGUAGAAUUACGUUUGACUUCGAAUCAAAAAAAGGUAAAAACCCUGUUUUG